UACGUAGGCAGCGAGCGUUGUUCGGAUUUACUGGGCGUAAAGCGCACGUAGGCGGAUCGUUAAGUCGGGGGUGAAAUCCUGGAGCUCAACUCCAGAACUGCCUUCGAUACUGGCGAUCUUGAGUCCGGAAGAGGUGAGUGGAACUCCUAGUGUAGAGGUGGAAUUCGUAGAUAUUAGGAAGAACACCAGUGGCGAAGGCGGCUCACUGGUCCGGUACUGACGCUGAGGUGCGAAAGCGUGGGGAGCAAACAGG
RNAcentral lists this ribosomal RNA (253 nucleotides) under uncultured bacterium. RNAcentral describes it as "partial 16S ribosomal RNA". It matches the Rfam family "Bacterial small subunit ribosomal RNA", at positions 524 to 776 of the family's 1533-position model. The record is from RNAcentral.